Molecule: ribosomal RNA, 497 nt
Filed under: uncultured bacterium
Lineage: Bacteria
Description: partial 16S ribosomal RNA
Rfam family: Bacterial small subunit ribosomal RNA
Source: RNAcentral
GAUGAACGCUGGCGGCGUGCCUAAUACAUGCAAGUCGAGCGAACGGACGAGAAGCUUGCUUCUCUGAUGUUAGCGGCGGACGGGUGAGUAACACGUGGAUAACCUACCUAUAAGUCUGGGAUAACUUCGGGAAACCGGAGCUAAUACCGGAUAAUAUUUUGAACCGCAUGGUUCAAAAGUGAAAGACGGUCUUGCUGUCACUUAUAGAUGGUUCCGCGCUGCAUUAGCUAGUUGGUAAGGUAACGGCUUACCAAGGCAACGAUGCAUAGCCGACCUGAGAGGGUGAUCGGCCACACUGGAAGUGGAACACGGACCAGAGUCCUAAGGGAGGCAGCAGUAGAGAAUCUGCCGCAAUGGAGGAAAGCAUGACGGAGCAACGCCGCGUGAGUGAUGAAGGUCUUCGGAUCGUAAAACUCUGUUAUGAGGGAAGAACAUAUGUGUAAGUAAAUGUGCAGAUCGUGACGGUACCUAAUCAAAAAGCCACGGCUAACUACGUG